This 1360-nucleotide ribosomal RNA is filed under the name metagenome. Its description in RNAcentral is "bacterial SSU rRNA". It matches the Rfam family "Bacterial small subunit ribosomal RNA", at positions 8 to 1325 of the family's 1533-position model. The record is from RNAcentral.
AGAGUUUGAUUCUGGCUCAGAACGAACGCUGGCAGCGUGGAUUAGGCAUGCAAGUCGAACGUGAAGCCGAUGAUCAAUCUUUCGGGAAAGUGAUUCGGUGGAAAGUGGCGGAAGGGUGAGUAACGCGUGGGUAAGCUACCUUUAAGUUGGGGACGACCAGAUGAAAAUCUGGCUAAUACCGAAUGUGGUCUUCUGGCACAUGUCAGGAUGACUAAAGGCGGGGAUUCUUCGGAACCUGCCGCUUGAAGAUGCACCCGCGUGCCAUCAGCUUGUUGGUAGGGUAACGGCCUACCAAGGCUUACGGCUAGCCGGCCUGAGAGGGUGACCGGCCACACUGGGACUGAGACACUGCCCAGACUCCUACGGGAGGCUGCAGUCGAGGAUCAUUCGCAAUGCGCGAAAGCGUGACGAUGCGACGCUGCGUGGGGGAUGAAGGCCUUCGGGACGUAAACUCCUGUCAUGAGGGAAAAGUAUCCCUGCGAUUAAUAGUCGCGGGGCUCGAUGGUACCUCAAGAGGAAGCCACGGCUAACUCUGUGCCAGCAGCCGCGGUAAUACAGAGGUGGCGAGCGUUGUUCGGAUUUACUGGGCGUAAAGGGUGCGUAGGUGGUUUUGUGUGUCGGAUGUGAAAGCCCAUGGCUCAACCGUGGAAUUGCAUUCGAAACUGCAGAACUAGAGUGCAGGAUGGGAGAGCGGAAUUCUUGGUGUAGCGGUGAAAUGCGUUGAUAUCAAGAAGAACACCGGUGGCGAAGGCGGCUCUCUGGAAUGUUACUGACACUGAGGCACGAAAGCUGGGGGAGCAAACAGGAUAGAUACCCUGGUAGUCCCAGCCGUAAACGGUGCACACUUGGUGUGGGGAGAUUUAACCCUCUCCGUGCCGGAGCUAACGCGUUAAGUGUGCCGCCUGGGGAGUACGGCCGCAAGGCUAAAACUCAAAGAAAUUGACGGGGGCCCGCACAAGCGGAGGAGCAUGUGGCUUAAUUCGAUGCAACGCGAAGAACCUUACCAGGGCUUGACAUAUACCUGCAAACCCCGUGAAAGCGGGGAAUCCUUCGAGGGUGGUAUACAGGUGCUGCAUGGCUGUCGUCAGUUCGUGCCGUGAGGUGUUGGGUUAAGUCCCGUAACGAACGCAACCCUUGUGACUAGUUGCCACCGGCGGUGAUGAGCCGUCGAGCACUCUAGUCAGACUGCCCGUACAAGCGGGAGGAAGGUGGGGAUGACGUCAAGUCAGUAUGGCCCUUACGCCCUGGGCUGCACACGUGCUACAAUGGUCGGUACAAUGGGAUGCAAUAUCGCGAGGUGGAGCAAAUCCUGAAAGCCGGCCCCAGUUCGGAUUGAAGUCUGCAACUCGACUUCAUGAAG